Molecule: ribosomal RNA, 354 nt
Filed under: uncultured bacterium
Lineage: Bacteria
Description: bacterial SSU rRNA
Rfam family: Bacterial small subunit ribosomal RNA
Source: RNAcentral
AGAGUUUGAUCAUGGCUCAGGAUGAACGCUAGCUACAGGCUUAACACAUGCAAGUCGAGGGGAAACGACAUCGAAAGCUUGCUUUUGAUGGGCGUCGACCGGCGCACGGGUGAGUAACGCGUAUCCAACCUGCCCACCACUUGGGGAUAACCUUGCGAAAGUAAGACUAAUACCCAAUGACGUCUCUAGAAGACAUCUGAAAGAGAUUAAAGAUUUAUCGGUGAUGGAUGGGGAUGCGUCUGAUUAGCUUGGUUGGCGGGGUAACGCCCACAAGGCGACGAUCGAGUAGGGGUUCUGAGAGGAACGGUCCCCCANAUUGGAACUGAGACACGGUCCAAACUCCGUACGGGAGCA